Molecule: long non-coding RNA, 288 nt
Organism: Ochotona princeps (American pika)
Lineage: Eukaryota; Metazoa; Chordata; Mammalia; Lagomorpha; Ochotonidae
Exons: 2
Source: RefSeq, a predicted model, not a curated record
GCAGGGUCCCAAGGCUUUGGGCCAUCCUCCACUGCUUUCCGAAGCUAUAAGCAGGGAGGUGGAUGGGAAGUGGAGCAGCCAGGACAUAAACUGGUGCCCAUAGGGGAUUCCAACUUUUUCAAGCUUCCUGUUAAGGCACACCCUGAAAAGCAGGUGUUGGCUUAAUUACUGGAUUCCCUGCCACCCAUUUAGAGGAACAGAACUGAGUUCCAGGAUCCUGGCUCCUGUUGUAACCAUAGCCAUGUGGGAUGUAAAUCACUGGAAGGAAGACCUCUUUGCUUGUCUGUC